GAGGGUAGAGGUCAGUGGUAGAGUGUGUGCUUAGCAUGCACGAGGUCCUGGGUUCAAUCCCCAGUACCUCCA
RNAcentral lists this transfer RNA (72 nucleotides) under Camelus bactrianus (Bactrian camel). It matches the Rfam family "tRNA". Rfam says of the family: Transfer RNA (tRNA) molecules are approximately 80 nucleotides in length. The record is from Rfam by way of RNAcentral. Lineage: Eukaryota; Metazoa; Chordata; Mammalia; Artiodactyla; Camelidae. RNAcentral also lists the same sequence under 2 other names.